Molecule: long non-coding RNA, 440 nt
Filed under: Citrus x clementina
Lineage: Eukaryota; Viridiplantae; Streptophyta; Magnoliopsida; Sapindales; Rutaceae
Description: Citrus clementina (C. clementina) long non-coding RNA (CCLE_LNC003179)
Source: RNAcentral
GGCCUCGUGUGCAAAAAAUAGGCCGCGGGCAAAGCCGCGCCCAAAAAUAACCGCCCGAAGACCGGGGCGCGAAGUUCGUCCGGGGGAAAAAGUCCACAAAAACGGGUAGGCUAUAGCUUUGGGGGGGGGGGCUGGCCAACCUCGUCCGCCGGACUCGGAAAGCCAUGAGACUUUGCGAGGGGCCUCCGUGUGCCAAACAUAGGCCGCGGACAAAGCCGCGCCCAAAAAUAACAGCCCGAAGGCCGGGGCGACAAGUUCGUCCAAGGGAAAAACGCCACAAAAACGGGUGGGCUAUAGACUUGGGGGGGGGGGCUGGCCAACCUCGUCCGCCGGACUCGGAAUGCCGCGAGACUUUCCGAGGUGCCUCCGUGUGCCAAAAAUAGGCCGCGGGCAAAGCCGCGCCCAAAACUAACCGCCCGAAGGCCGGGGCGCCAUGUNNN